CCAAAGUGCAAAUUUGGAGACGCACCCUAAAGGUGCCGGGGCUUCUCCCGUUUUAAAUCAAACGGGAGAAGA
This 72-nucleotide transfer RNA is filed under the name Cyrtodactylus malayanus. Its description in RNAcentral is "partial tRNA-Cys". Lineage: Eukaryota; Metazoa; Chordata; Lepidosauria; Squamata; Gekkonidae. The record is from RNAcentral.